CCCUACGGGGUGCCCAUUAUCUUCGGGCCGGCAGCGAUAAUGCAGUGGAAACCCUGGUCAUGGACUAUUUACGGCGUCAGGGCCUCGUAAAAUGAUAAAAAUAUUGAAAUUAUUUAUAGAUGUGUUAUGUUCGUUUCUGAGGACUAUUUGAAUGACCUGGCUGACACCCAUGAUGGCGAUCAUUGCAGGGCUGAUCACAGUACCGUUGCUGGUGCUGUUAUAUUUCCUUAAGCUCAAACGCCGUCAGGUCCACAUCAGCAGCACGCUGCUCUGGAAGCGGGCGGUGCAGGACCUCCAGGUGAAUGCCCCGUUUCAACGGCUCCGGCGAAAUAUUCUUCUGCUGCUUCAACUGCUGGCAUUGCUCCUGGUGGUGGUGGUUCUGGGUUCCCCGGUGGUGAAUUGGCGGGGGGGC
This 412-nucleotide ribosomal RNA is filed under the name uncultured prokaryote. RNAcentral's name for it is "partial 16S ribosomal RNA". The record is from RNAcentral.